RNAcentral lists this ribosomal RNA (253 nucleotides) under uncultured bacterium. Its description in RNAcentral is "partial 16S ribosomal RNA". It matches the Rfam family "Bacterial small subunit ribosomal RNA", at positions 524 to 776 of the family's 1533-position model. The record is from RNAcentral.
UACGUAGGUGGCGAGCGUUGUCCGGAUUUAUUGGGUUUAAAGGGUGCGUAGGCGGCCCUGUAAGUCAGUGCUGAAAUAUCCCAGCUUAACUGGGAGGGUGGCAUUGAUACUGCGGGGCUAGAGUACAGAUGAGGUAGGCGGAAUUGACGGUGUAGCGGUGAAAUGCUUAGAUAUCGUCAAGAACACCUAUAGCGAAGGCAGCUUACUAGGCUGUAACUGACGCUGAGGCACGAAAGUGUGGGGAUCAAACAGG